AAACCGUUCAGGGGUAAACCUGAGAAACCCAAAAGAUCGAAUGGGGAGAUUCAUCGUCAGCUUUGACGGCUUGCGUGCUGCUCGCGAUGCUCGGCUUGGGACGUGUAACAGCGUUUUUUGGUCGAGCACGCGGUGGCUGCGCAAUUUUGCGCCGUUGAAGUCGGCGUGCACUUCUCCCCUAGUAGGACGUCGCGACCCGUUGAGUGUCGGUCCAAGGCCCGCGAGGUUGACUGCCGGUGUUUGGCGGCGCCGUCAAAAGCGUCGUCUCGUCGCCGGUAGACCCGCGGUCGCCCGACCGACUGCUCGGCGGUAAAAAUUGUUUGAAUGUUCAAUGGUAUCGAGCCGCAUGUUUUGAAUGCGUUCUUUUGGCUCGUCGGCAGGUGAGCCUCGCCUCGGAUUUACGGACCUGGUGCCGUUGUCGAGCGAGUUUUGUUUGCCGUUUUGCCGACGAUGUCCUCGGACGGGCUCUAUAAAGAGCUCUCGAGCUCUUUUGUUACCAGUCAGCGACGCUACUGCUUUGGGUACUUUCAGGACCCGUCUUGAAACACGGACCAA
RNAcentral lists this ribosomal RNA (555 nucleotides) under Megaphragma sp. Its description in RNAcentral is "partial large subunit ribosomal RNA". Lineage: Eukaryota; Metazoa; Arthropoda; Insecta; Hymenoptera; Trichogrammatidae. The record is from RNAcentral.